This 244-nucleotide ribosomal RNA is filed under the name uncultured Staphylococcus sp. RNAcentral describes it as "partial 16S ribosomal RNA". It matches the Rfam family "Bacterial small subunit ribosomal RNA", at positions 118 to 355 of the family's 1533-position model. The record is from RNAcentral. Lineage: Bacteria; Bacillati; Bacillota; Bacilli; Caryophanales; Staphylococcaceae.
GGUGGAACCUACCUAUAAGACUGGGAUAACUCCGGGAAACCGGGGCUAAUACCGGAUAANACAUGAAACCGCAUGGUUUCAUGAUGAAAGACGGUUUUGCUGUCACUUAUAGAUGGACCCGCGGCGUAUUAGCUAGUUGGUAAGGUAACGGCUUACCAAGGCAACGAUACGUAGCCGACCUGAGAGGGUGAUCGGCCACACUGGAACUGAGACACGGUCCAGACUCCUACGGGAGGCAGCAGCC